RNAcentral lists this ribosomal RNA (498 nucleotides) under uncultured bacterium. Its description in RNAcentral is "partial 16S ribosomal RNA". It matches the Rfam family "Bacterial small subunit ribosomal RNA", at positions 28 to 507 of the family's 1533-position model. The record is from RNAcentral.
GAUGAACGCUGGCGGCGUGCCUAAUACAUGCAAGUCGAGCGAACAGACGAGGAGCUUGCUCCUCUGACGUUAGCGGCGGACGGGUGAGUAACACGUGGAUAACCUACCUAUAAGACUGGGAUAACUUCGGGAAACCGGAGCUAAUACCGGAUAAUAUAUUGAACCGCAUGGUUCAAUAGUGAAAGACGGUUUUGCUGUCACUUAUAGAUGGAUCCGCGCCGCAUUAGCUAGUUGGUAAGGUAACGGCUUACCAAGGCAACGAUGCGUAGCCGACCUGAGAGGGGGGAUGGGCAACCGGGGACCGGAACCAGGGCCCGACCUCCGCGGGGAGGAAGAGGGGGGGAAUCUUCGGCAAGGGGAGAAGGCCGGAGGGAGCAAGGCGGGGUGAGUAAGGAAGGUCUUGGGAUCGUAAAAUUUUGUUAUGGGGGAAAAACAAAUGUUUAAGUAACUAUGCACGUCUGGAGGGUACUUAAUAAGAAAGCCAGGGCUAACUCCGUC